UGGGGAAUCUUGCGCAAUGGGCGAAAGCCUGACGCAGCAACGCCGCGUGGGGGAUGAAGGCUCUCGGGUUGUAAACCCCUUUCAGUGGGGACGAAAUUGACGGUACCCACAGAAGAAGCCCCGGCCAACUACGUGCCAGCAGCCGCGGUAACACGUAGGGGGCAAGCGUUGUCCGGAUUUAUUGGGCGUAAAGAGCUCGUAGGCGGUUCGGUAAGUCGGGUGUGAAACCUCCAGGCUCAACCUGGAGACGCCACCCGAUACUGCUGUGACUAGAGUCCGGUAGGGGAGCGUGGAAUUCCUGGUGUAGCGGUGAAAUGCGCAGAUAUCAGGAGGAACACCAGCGGCGAAGGCGGCGCUCUGGGCCGGAACUGACGCUGAGGAGCGAAAGCGUGGGGAGCAAACAG
RNAcentral lists this ribosomal RNA (404 nucleotides) under uncultured bacterium. RNAcentral describes it as "bacterial SSU rRNA". It matches the Rfam family "Bacterial small subunit ribosomal RNA", at positions 355 to 775 of the family's 1533-position model. The record is from RNAcentral.